Eubalaena glacialis (North Atlantic right whale) is the source of this 2163-nucleotide long non-coding RNA. RefSeq lists it as uncharacterized. The record is from RefSeq and is a predicted model, not a curated record. NCBI's taxonomy places the organism in Eukaryota, Metazoa, Chordata, Mammalia, Artiodactyla, Balaenidae. The transcript has 5 exons.
UACAACCAAACAAUGCUCGGCGAUCGCGGCAGCUGCUCUCCAAAUGUCAGCGCCAAGCCCGGCCAAAGGGCUGGAAGGCCACCGAGCCCAGGACUUUGUACGCUACCUUUGUCGCCCACAUUUUCCCCAAGCACUCUCAGGACCCUGGCAACAGGUAACGUGGCAACCUUUGCCUUCUAAAACGGCAAGCGGCAGGAUUUCAGAGAACAAAAGGAUUUUUUGAAAGCCAGCUGCAUCUCCCUCGCCACCCCCUCCCCCUCCCCCCCGCCCUCCCCCUUCGCCACACCAAGUCUGAGAAAACAAAGUAUUGCUGCGGCAGCCCGGCUCUCGAGCGCCCCCUUGUGACCAAGCUCGGAACAUCACCGAUGUACCUUUCAAGGUACAACUUCAGUCCGAGGCUCGGCUCCCAGGCCGAAUGCCAUCCACACAAAAGAGCUCCUGUCGACAUCUCAUUUACAAUCUACCCCCAGGACACAGACAGGACCAUUUCAAUAAACCCGGCUCAGAAACACCUAUUGUUCAAAAUCUUCAACUAGCCACAGGCUACCACCACUCCCUAUUGUUUUGUAAAAGAAGAGAUUUAGAAGGAGCCAGAUUGGGACCUGGAAGGUCUGAAAAGAGGAAGGAAAAAAGUCCCUUUGACCCGAUGCUGUUGGAGAACGUGCAUGAAGAAUAACGUUAAUGGAUUUUCAUUUUUACAAGAAGUGCAUAAGCAACGCCCGCUCCCUGCCUGAAGUAGUGAUCGGGGAUUCUAAAAGCGGUGCCAACUUUGUAAAGAAGUUAACUCCUGCCAUCGGGUUUGGCACCUGAAAAGUCAAAGGCUCUACUUACACUAUUCUCUGUCUUACAAAAGCCCUGAUGGCAGCCACAGCAAAGCACCAGCAGCUAGUAAGCCGGGUGUACCCCUGCUCCUGUGCAAAAGGCCUGUGAAACUCUGAAGCUAUACUUGUACACAGAUGUGAUCCAAUGAUGCCAUCUCAUCUCCAUGGCAACCAGGUGUCUCAGUUAUCUAGUCUGGUGCCAGGGCAUCGGAGACCUGCCGCCACUGUGCUGUUCCCCGGUCACUCAGUUCCAAAUUUAUGAGAUUGCCUCAGUCCCUUAGGUAUUUGUUCUCUGAAAGGUGUGGAAUUGUGCUGAGUACUUUUUACAUGUGAUCAUCAUUCCUUUUUGCCGAGUUGGAGACCCAGGUAAAGUUCAGAGCAGCUCGUAACCUGCCUGCAGCCAACGGCAUACUGCAAAGGUGGCUAAAACAAUAUUGUCCAUCCAGCAUGGUCUUCUAGAACAGGGGUCAGGAAAGUCCUAUAUAAAGAGCUGUACAGUAAAUAUUUUUGGUUUUGCAGACCAUGCAGUCUCUGUCCCAAACACUCAACUUUGACAUUGUGGCAAAGCCAGAGACAAUAUGUAAAUGCACGGACAUGGCUGCCUUGGAGAGGUGAGCCUGAUUUGUUCCAAGGGUCGUAAUUUGCCAACCCUGCUCUAGAACUUUGCCACUUCCCAUGGUGAGGUGGAGUCUGAUACCCCUCCCCUUGAACUUGGGGAAGUGUGUGAUUUGCUCGUGACCGAGAGAGUACGAAGGAACUGGCAGUGCAUGACCUCCAAGGCUAGACCAGAAAAGGUGAUGCUGUUUCUCCCUUAGUCCCUGGGACAUCUGCCUGCCUGGAGCCCUGAGCCACCACAGAAGCAUCCAAUUUUCCUGAGGCCGCCAUGCUGUAAGGAAGCCCAAGUCAGCCACGUGGAAAGACCACAUGAAGAAGCCUGGAGACUCUUAAGAAGAGGGAGAGGUGUUCAGCAGCCCCCAGUGAUCCAGCCCUCCACCCACCCAACUGCAAGCUCAGAAGAGACCCUGAGCCAGAACUACCCAGCCGAAGCUCUCCCCAAAUUCCUGCCCCAUAGAAACUGAGAAAUAAUAACACGAUUGCUGUGGUUUUAAGGCACUAAACAAAAAACUUAGAACACUGUCCCAAAACUAGUGAGUGGCAGAUAUGGGAUUCAAACCUAGGUUGGCUUGACAUUCUAUUACAUAAUCAUUAAUCAUUCUAUUACAUGAUUGCUUACAGCAGCCUUUUUAAAAAAUGGUGCUAAAAUAUAUGUAACAUAAAACUUACCAUGUUAACCAUCUUUAAGUGUACAAUUCCAUAAGUACAUUCACACUGUUGUGCAACA